RNAcentral lists this ribosomal RNA (263 nucleotides) under uncultured bacterium. RNAcentral's name for it is "partial 16S ribosomal RNA". It matches the Rfam family "Bacterial small subunit ribosomal RNA", at positions 524 to 786 of the family's 1533-position model. The record is from RNAcentral.
UACGUAGGUGGCAAGCGUUGUCCGGAAUUAUUGGGCGUAAAGGGCGCGUAGGCGGUUAUUUAAGUCAGGUGUGAAAACUCUGGGCUUAACCGAGAGAUUGCAGUUGAUACUGGGUAACUUGAGUGCAGGAGAGGACAGUGGAAUUCCUAGUGUAGCGGUGAAAUGCGUAGAUAUUAGGAGGAACACCAGUGGCGAAGGCGGCUGUCUGGACUGUAACUGACGCUGAGGCGCGAAAGCGUGGGGAGCAAACAGGAUUAGAUACC